UCAAAAUGGUGCCAUAUGACAAUGCCAAUAAUUCUCCAAAAGAAUCUUGUGUGUUGAUCCCUUUCAAGAUAUUGCCAGUAUAUGUAUAAGGACAUGAAAAGUUAUAACAUUCAUUUUAUCUAUGUCACACCCCCAAACCAGAACGGCGGAAACCUUCGGGGGCGGAGGACGUCAUAUUCAGUAUCAUAACAGUUCAUAGAAAGGAAAGUACACACCACCAUAUAUAUUAAAGUUUCCAAAAUGUUUACAUAAUUGUAUUCGUUACAUGUUUAAAAGUUAAAUACAUAAACAUCUUUCAAAAGAAGUAAUUAACGUCAGCGCGUUAAUCCCCAAAAGUUGAUUUCCAAAUCUGCUUAGCGGUUCCCUGAGAAUACAAGUUAUUUCAAAGAAAAAGUGUCAACAAUUAAGUUGGUGAGUUCAUGAGUAGUGUUUUGAGAAAAUGUACGCCAUUCGAAAGUUCGUGUAUGUUUUCAAGAAAACGAAGUAUUUCAAAUGUAAAGAGUUAUGAUUCGUUGUGUUGAAAAUGAAUGUAUUAGAUCCAGAAAAUCCCAUAUUUUCCCUAAUGGUUGAGAUAUGAAUUGUUGUGUUUUCCAAGAAAAAACCCUUAUUUUCUUAUAAAAGUAUGAGAUGCAUAUGGAUGUUCGUGUUAUAAGUUGUAAGUAAUUGCACCAUGAAAAUCCCUUAUUUUCCUAUUAGUUGUUUGGUUUGUAUCCAGGAAAAACCCUUAUUUUCCUAACAUAACUGGCAGUCUCCAAGACCGAAAAUCGCAAGCAACCGACGUGCUUGUAAGUUGUGUCAUAGUUUUACAUAGUAAAGCUAUACGAAGAUCGCACUUGUUAGAUGAAGAAUAGUUUUAAUAGCUACUCGUUCAUAAAAGCAUAAUACCAUAAUAAUUGUAUAUCCGGUGAGUUUUAUAACCAUACUAAACAUAAUAUGCCUGUAGCGACGUUCUUUAGGCGUCGUAGCGUUAUGACAACUGUCACCCCAAAGGACGGACUGUAGCUAACAGUCAGGGCGCGGGAUCAUGACUUCCCGUAUAGAUCUAUACACAUUUGACACGUUCUCCGAACGGGAGACUCUGGUUAUAGACAGGACUUAUAGCGAUACCUUUUAGCAAAAAGGUAGUAUUUGAAGAUGUACACGUCUCACGGAUUCUCAACUAAGUCUGUAUUAAAGUAUUAGUUUUGUAUGCAAAGUUUAUCCUUUUCACAAUGUUUGACAAAGCAUAAAUCAUAAGUUCUUUGAAUGUAUAAAACGGUUUAGUAAUGAUGGUAACCCUUGAUGCGAGGUAUUUGUAUGUAAAUGUAUAAAUAAAACAUAUUUCUAUUUAUAAGCGAGGUAUUUGUAUGUAAAUGUAUAAAUAAAACAUAUUUAUAUUUAUAAACCAUAUUGUAUCCCAAGAGGGUAAAGUUGUGUUGUGAGGUGUUUUGCAUGAUAAUAACUUCAUAAGAUAGUUAAAACAACAGUAUGAAAAGUAUAUCAAAAG
This 1486-nucleotide long non-coding RNA is filed under the name Lactuca sativa (garden lettuce). Its description in RNAcentral is "long non-coding RNA (LSAT_LNC004049)". The record is from RNAcentral. Lineage: Eukaryota; Viridiplantae; Streptophyta; Magnoliopsida; Asterales; Asteraceae.